This 642-nucleotide long non-coding RNA is filed under the name Mus pahari (shrew mouse). RNAcentral's name for it is "lncRNA (MGP_PahariEiJ_G0002303.1)". Lineage: Eukaryota; Metazoa; Chordata; Mammalia; Rodentia; Muridae. The record is from RNAcentral.
UUUCCAGGGCAGGGCGAUGGAGUCCUGGUAAAUGUAGCCGUCGACGCUGCAGUUGUGGGAGAGGUGAAAUCGUCAGCAAAGCCUCCAGCACUGAACAACCUUUUCCUGUGUAGCCAUAGACCAUAGCCAGUCUCCUCUCCAACAGCCUCACUAUCUCUGAAAGUUGGGUCAAGUAACUCACUAAAUCAGAAUUUCAAAGCAAAACUGCAAAACUUCAAGUAUCAUUUACAAGAAGGAUCUAUGCGAGGCACAAAGCAAAUCUCAAGCAACUGAAACUGACAGUUAAUCAAAAAAGAUGAUUAAGAAAAUAGCUGUAAUCAAAGGAAAUAACUUCUCUAUCAACAAUCAGCAUAGGCCACGACUGCAAGCUCCUGCUGCCUGCACUUCCUUGCCAUGAUGGACUGUACCUUGAAUCCUGUACUAAAAGAAACCUGUUCUUUCAUAAGUUGCUUUCGUCAGAGUAGAAUGCUCACAGCAACAGAAGAGAAACUAGGACAUCUUAUAAAGUUGCACUUCAUGAAUUGCCAGCACCCAAAUCUAACUCAACCCUCCCAAGUAUACAGAGCCAUGUUCUAUCUUGUCCUUGUCAAACACCCCUGUUUUCUCUCAGGUACUUAAAAAGGCUGAUGGCUGACACUUUGG